This 253-nucleotide ribosomal RNA is filed under the name uncultured bacterium. RNAcentral describes it as "partial 16S ribosomal RNA". It matches the Rfam family "Bacterial small subunit ribosomal RNA", at positions 524 to 776 of the family's 1533-position model. The record is from RNAcentral.
UACGAAGGGGGCUAGCGGUGUUCGGAAUUACUGGGCGUAAAGCGCGUGUAGGCGGGCCGUUAAGUCGGGGGUGAAAGCCCAGAGCUCAACUCUGGAACUGCCUUCGAUACUGGCGGCCUGGAGCAUGAUAGAGGCGAGUGGAAUUGCGAGUGUAGAGGUGAAAUUCGUAGAUAUUCGCAGGAACACCAGUGGCGAAGGCGACUCGCUGGAUCAUUGCUGACGCUGAGACGCGAAAGCUAGGGGAGCAAACGGG